AUAACGGAUGUACCCGGGUAUAACGGAUGUUGUAUAUCGACUGAGACUCGUUAACCCUAAUUCGGCUCCCCCAUUGCAACACGACACCAGCCAUUCCUUCUCUGUCGACGAAGCCUAUCAUUCAAUGAUUCAAUCGGUACUCUUCUUACAGGUAAUAUAUUUGAAAAAUUCAAAUCCUCCCCAAGUUUAAUAUUGUAUUUGUGCACAGACGAUCCUAUAUAUUUGCAAAAUCAACAAGACAUAUAUUCUUAAUUAUUAUAUUUAUUUACAUCCAUGGAAACCCAAUAGCUUCAUUUUCUCGAUCAACCAUUUGAAUUCACUAAUUUUUAUCUUUGCCUCUGUUGGAUCCGAUGAAGAUGGUGUGUGCUUUCUCUGUUUUUUUUUUUUUUUUUUUUUUUCCUCUCUCUCUCUCUCUACUAUAUACACACUCAUCUUUAAAACAUGGUCUUACUUAAAGGAUAUACUGGUAAUUGAAAGCUUUUGAGAAAGAAUGGAAUAUCAAUUAUUGAAUGCCCUAAAGGUGUUCGAUGUAAUGUCUACAUAGGUUAUAUCUCUGAUUGUAUUAUGUUUUCAAUCGCCAUAUGAUUGGUUAUUAUUCAUGGCUAUUAGCAAUCCAGAAAAUGCCAAAAUAAUGUACAAUUUUGCAUCAUAUUUAUUACAGUUGAAACCGAUGAUUUUAGGCUUAUUUUAUAACCCAAUUCGAUUGUUCCAUGAAUGAAUUUUAGAAAUUAUUAUGUGCAGUCAAUAAGACGCUGAAAGAUACAAGUGUCAUGUACAGCAUAUUUACCAGCCCUUUCCAUUGAGGUAAAUUUUUAAUUGUAAUUCUAAUUUCAUGAAUGCAAAUGAUACAUAUUCAUGGAUAUUCAUUCUUUUUUUCUUAUAAAAGAUGAUAACAUCGGUUUAUAUUUGAAGUUCUAUAUCAUCCAAAAUCUAACCAAAAUAUGAUAUUUCCUAAUAUGCCCUUCCUUCUCUGCUUGGUAUAUUUAAUGUCAAUUACUAACUUUUGAAAGUGUGUUUGGGUUUCGUUCCUAGAAUCUUUGUUGGGUUAUUACAGAAACCUAAGAUUUGGUGAUGGAAAACUUGAAUUUGAUGUUGCCCUCUAGGUGUUUGAUAAAAUGCCCAUGAGAAGUUCUUUUUCAUAUUAAACACUGUGACACGGUAUGUUUUACUUGCUUUGCUCCUUCAUUAUUUAUUCCAAAAAAAUCCAUGAGUUAGUAUUUCUUUUUCUAUUAAUUUUAAAUGCAAGUAACUAAUAUCCAAAAUUCCAAUGUAGAGAAACUGUAGGUAGACAGUGAAGACAUUAUGAUGUUGGAAGAUUGAAGAGUUUGAACUCCAUCUCAAACUUUUGGGCAUGGAUGUUUGAAAAAUAUUAAUUGCUUCCUUAGAGCUUCGUGUUUGUAAGUUUGGACUCUAAUCAAAAGACGACAAUUUUUAAGUAAUUUUGACUAUUUGAUCACUCAAUUAUAUCUCAACUCUUAAAAAUGUUAUUAUUUUUAUUUAAUUUUGCGGUUGUUUCUCUCAAAAUCAUGUCAUUUUCUCUAUUAAUAUAUAAAUUGAAUCUAACAUCAAUGCACCAGUUCCUUAAUCAAAGUGGGUGCAUGAUGUUAAUGCUAUUUUUUUUAAAUGAUGGUAAAUUUGAUUAAUAUUAUUAUGUAGUGCACGAUAAGUUUAUUCAUUUUUAACAAGGAUUUAUCAUAUGUUGGCCUUUAUGUUCCUAAGUAUAUGUUACGAAGUUUAAUACAUGUAUUGGUUUUUCUUGGAAUAAUAUAUUUCUACUUCAAAUGGUUAAAAUAGUUUAAUAUAUUAUUUCAAAUAGUUUUUUGCCCAAUAUUUAAGUGAUAUCUCAAUCUACAAAUCAAGUUAUUAUAAGUUAUAAUGAAUCUUUUGUUGUUUUUUAUUUAAAUUAAUAUGUUUGAUACUCUGCAUAUAACCAUGUGAUUGAGGUUUAACUCGAAUUCAAGUUAGAGCCAAGUUUGUAUGGUGCGAAUUUUGAUACGAUUUUAGUUGAAAUACUUAAGUUGAUUUUAAGCUAUAAUCUCCCAGAUUCAAUUGAUUAGAAUUCAUUAUUAAAUGAGGUUGAAGGUACAAUGAGUUUACAUUUUUGCAUAUCACCAUUAUUAUAAAGUAAAUUUCAACUCUUUAUAAAUUAAAGAAUAUAAUGUAAGCAGUUUUGUUGGGAUAAUAUUUUGCAACCAGACAUGAGGAGUAGAAAAAACUUAAAUGCACUUUAGUCAUUUCGGUCCUUUCAAUAAGGUUAAAGAAAAGAUAAGUUGUGUUUUGUUCAUUUUAAACGUCGAUUAAAGGUACAAAAGAAUGCAUUUUGACCAUUUUCUAUAUUUUGACCAAGUAAGUCGAUUUUUGUCAAAAUAACCAUUUUGGUCAUUUUGCUCAUUUCAACCAUGCAAAAUAUAUAUUCUGGUCAUUUUAAACUCACAUUCACCAUAAAAAAUAAUGUAUUUGGACCAUUUUUGUCAUUUUUACCAUUCAAAUCAACUUUUGUUAUUUUGGUCAUUUCAAUCGGUCAAAACAAUUAGAAGUCGGGAAGUAUACUUUAUUUAUUUAUUUAUUUUUUUAUUAAACCAUUAUAAUUAAAAAAACAUAAAUAAAAAGCCAGCCAAGACACCAGAAGUGGCAACAUUCAUAUAGAACCCAAAACGGUACCAAGGGCAAAAAGGUCAAUGUUUGCCACUAGGCUUGAAAGCACCUGCAAAGCGAUGGUGCGGAUAUUGAAAUAUUUUAUCAUGUAUCUUUGUUAAAUGCACGAAAUAACAACUUAUUGUCAUAUAUUUAUUUAUAUAUUAUUCUACUUUCAUUUCUUCCUAUUAUAAUAUUAUACUUUAAAAAGUGCAAUUUUGUAACGGAUAAAAAUGAUUUGUUUAAGUAAUAUUUGAGAAUAUAAUAAGUUUCUUUGUUUUUUUAAACAAGUUUCCAGUUUUAAUUUUUAAGGACGGAUCCAAAGCAAUAUGUUCGCCAUAUAUAUUUCUCAUUAAUGCCUUUAGUACUAUUUUGUUAUUUAGUAUGCUUUUAGUAAAAAAAAAUUGCAUUGCUAAUAUGUCUUCCUGUUAUAAGGCAAAAUGCAAUUUUAUUUUUCUUAUUAAGAUACCUACCAAGUACAUUGAAAUAUCUUCCUAGGAUAUAUCUAUUAAUCACAUUAUGAAUGGU
Molecule: long non-coding RNA, 3162 nt
Filed under: Lactuca sativa (garden lettuce)
Lineage: Eukaryota; Viridiplantae; Streptophyta; Magnoliopsida; Asterales; Asteraceae
Description: long non-coding RNA (LSAT_LNC008853)
Source: RNAcentral